CUACGGGGGGCUCCAGUGGGGAAUAUUGGACAAUGGGGGAAACCCCGAUCCAGCAAUGCCGCGUGUGUGAAGAAGGCCUGCGGGUUGUAAAGCACUUUCGGUUGGGAGGACUGCUUCUAGCACUAAUAUUGUUGGAAGUUGACGUUACCUUCAGAAGAAGCACCGGCUAACUCCGUGCCAGCAGCCGCGGUAAUACGGAGGGUGCAAGCGUGAAUCGGAAUUACUGGGCGUAAAGCGCGCGUAGGCGGCUAGAUCAGUCGGGUGUGAAAGCCCCGGGCUUAACCUGGAAACUGCAUCCGAUACUGUCUAGCUCGAGUACAGGAGAGGAGAGUGGAAUUCCACAUGUAGCGGUGAAAUGCGUAGAUAUGUGGAGGAACACCAAUGGCGAAGGCAGCUCUCUGGCCUGAUACUGACGCUGAGGUGCGAAAGCGUGGGGAGCAAACAGGAUUAGAUACCCGAGUAGUC
Molecule: ribosomal RNA, 465 nt
Filed under: uncultured bacterium
Lineage: Bacteria
Description: partial 16S ribosomal RNA
Rfam family: Bacterial small subunit ribosomal RNA
Source: RNAcentral